CCAGCCCCACCCCCCAAGGCUAUAGCCCACCCGUUUUUGUGGCCUUUUACCGCUGACGAACUUGGCGCCCCGGCCUUCGGGUGGUUAUUUUUAGGUGCGGCUUUGCCCGUGGAUUAUUUAUGGCACAUGGAGAUCCCUCGCAAAGUCUCGCGGCAUUCCGAGUCCGGCGGACGAAGAUGACCAGCCCCACCCCCCAAGGCUAUCGCCCACCCGUUUUUGUGGCCUUUUUCCGCCGGACGAACUUGGCGCCCCGGCCUUCGGGCGGUUAUUUUUGGGCGCGGCUUUGCCCGCGGCCUAUUUUUGGCACACAUAUGCCCCAUACAAAGUCACGCGGCAUUCUGAGUCCGGCGGACGAAGUUGACCAGCCCCACCCCCCAAGGCUACAGCCCACUCGUUUUUGUGGCCUUUUACCGCUGGACGACCGUGACGCCCCGGCCUUCGGGCGGUUAUUUUUGGGCGCGGUUUGCCCGCGGCCUAUUUUUGGCACACGGAGGCCCGUCGCAAAGUCUCGCGGCAUUCUGAGUCCGGCGGACGAAGUCGGCCAGCCCCACCCCCCAAGGCUAUAGCCCACCCGUUUUUGUGGCCUUUUUCCGCUGGACGAACAUGGCGACCUGGCCUUCGGACGGUUAUUUUUGGGUGCGGCUUCAUCCGCGGCCUAUUUUUGGGACACGGAGGCUCCUCGCCAAGUCUCGCGGCCUUCCGAGUCCGGCGGACGANNNNNNNNNNNNNNNNNNNNNNNNNNNNNNNNNNNNNNNNNNNNNNNNNNNNNNNNNNNNNNNNNNNNNNNNNNNNNNNNNNNNNNNNNNNNNNNNNNNNCCCCCCAAGGCUAUAGCCCACCCGUUUUUGUGGCCUUUUUCCGCUGGACGAACUUGACGCCCCGGCCUUCGGGCGGUAAUUUUUGGGCGCGGUUUGCCCGCGGCCUAUUUUUGGCACACGGAGGCCCCUCGCAAAGUCUCACGGCCUGCCGAGUCCGGCGGACGAAGUGGGCCAGCCCCACCCCCCAAGGCUAUAGCCCACCCGUUUUUGUGGCCUUUUUCCGCUGGACGAAAUUGCCGCCCCGGCCUUCGGGCGGUUAUUUCUGGGCAUAGCUAUGUCCGCGGCCUAUUUUUAGCAUACGGAGGCCCCUCGCAAAGUCUCGCGGCAUUCCGAGUCCGGCGGACGAAGUUGGCCAGGCCCACCCCCCAAGGCUAUAGCGCACCCGUUUUUGUGGCCUUUUUCCGCUAGACGAACUUCGCGCCCCGGCCUUCGGGCGGUUAUUUUUCUGCGCGGCUUUGCCCGCGGCCUAUUUUUGGCACACGGAGGCCCCUCGCAAAGUCUCGCGGCAUUCCGUGUCCGGCGGACGAAGUUGGCCAGCCCCACCCCCCAAGGCUACAGCCCACUCGUUUUUGUGGCCUUUUACCGCUGGACGACCUUGACGCCCCGGCUUUCGGGCGGUUAUUUUUGGGCGCGGUUUGCCCGCGGCCUAUUUUUGGCACACGGAGGCCCCUCGCAAAGUCUCGCGGCAUGCCGAGUCCGGCGGACGAAGUGGGCCAGCCCCACCCCCCAAGGCUAUAGCCCACCCGUUUUUGUGGCCUUUUACCGCUGGACGAACUUGGCGCCCCGGCCUUCGGGUGGUUAUUUUUAGGCGCGGUUUUGCCCGCGGAUUAUUUAUGGCACACGGAGAUCCGUCGCAAAGUCUCACGGCAUUCCGAGUCCGGUGGACGAAGAUGGCCAGCCCCACCCCCCAAGGCUAUAGCCCACCCGUUUUUGUGGCCUUUUUCCGCCGGACGAACUUGGCGCCCCGGCCUUCGGGCGGUUAUUUUUGGGCGCGCCUUUGCCCGCGGCCUAUUUUUGGAACACGGAGGCCCGUCGCAAAGUCUCACGGCAUUCUGAGUCCGGCGGACGAAGUCGGCCAGCCCCACCCCCCAAGGCUAUAGCCCACCCGUUUAUGUGGCCUUUUUCCGCUGGACGAACAUGGCGACCCGGCCUUCAUGCGGUUAUUUUUGGGUACGGCUUCGUCCGCGGCCUAUUUUUGGGACACGGAGGCCCCUCGCAAAGUCUCGCGGCAUUCCGAGUCCGGCAGACGAAGUUGGCCAGCCCCACCCCCCAAGGCUAUAGCCCACCCGUUUUUGUGGCCUUUUUCCGCUGGACGAACUUGACGCCCCGGCCUUCGGCGGUUAUUUUUGGGCGCGGUUUGCCCGCGGCCUAUUUUUGGCACAUGGAGGCCCUUCGUAAACUCUCGCGGCAUGCGGAGUCCGGCGGACGAAGUGGGCCAGCCCCACCCCCCAAGGCUAUAGCCCACCCGUUUUUGUGGCCGUUUUCCGCCGGACGAACUUGGCGCCCCGGCCUUCGGGCGGUUAUUUUUGGGCGCGCCUUUGCCCGCGGCCUAUUUUUGGCACACGGAGGCCCGUCGCAAAGUCUCGCGGCAUUCUGAGUCCGGCGGACGAAAUCGGCCAGCCCCACCCCCCAAGUCUAUAGCCCACCCGUUUUUGUGGCCUUUUUCCGCUGGACGAACUUGGCGCCCCGGCCUUCGGGCGGUUAUUUUUGGGCGCGGUUUUGGACGCGGCCUAUUUUUGGCACACGGAGGCCCGUCGCAAAGUCUCGCGGCAUUCUGAGUCCGGCGGACGAAGUCGGCCAGCCCCACCCCCCAAGGCUAUAGCCCUCCCGUUUUUGUGGCCUUUUUCCGCUGGACGAACAUGGCGACCCGGCCUUCAGGCGCCUAUUUUUGGGUAUGGCUUCUCCCGCGGCCUAUUUUUGGGACACGGAGGCCCCUCGCAAUGUCUCGCGGCAUUCCGAGUCCGGCGGACGAAGUUGGCCAGCCCCACCCCCCAAGGCUAUAGCCCACCCGUUUUUGUGGCCUUUUUCCGCUGGACGAACUUGACGCCCCGGCCUUCGGGCGGUUAUUUUUGGUCGCGGUUAGCCCGCGGCCUAUUUUUGGCACACCGAGGCCCUUCGCAAAGUCUAGCGGCAUGCCGAGUCCGGCGGACGAAGUGGGCCAGCCCCACCCCCCAAGGCUAUAGCCCACCCGUUUUCGUGGCCUUUUACCGCUGGACGAACUUGGCGCCGCGGCCUUCGGUUGGUUAUUUUUAGGCACGGCUUUGCCCGCGGAUUAUUUAUGGCACACGGAGAUCCCUCGCAAAGUCUCGCGGCAUUCCGAGUCCGGCGGUUGAAGUCGGCCAGCCCCACCCCCCAAGGCUAUAGCCCACCCGUUUUUGUGGCCUUUUUCCGCCGGACGAACUUGGCGCCCCGGCCUUCGGGCGGUUAUUUUUGGGCGCGGCUUUACCCGCGGCCGAUUUUUGGCACACGGAGGCCCCUCGCAAGUUCUUACGGCUUUCCGAGUCCGGCUGAUGAAGUUGGCCAGCCCCACACCCCAAGGCUAUAGCCCACCCGUUUUUGUGGCCUUUUUCCGCUGGACGAACUUGGCGCCCCGAACUUCGGGCGGUUAUUUUUGGGCGCGGCUUUGCCCGUGGCCUAUUUUUGGCACACGGAGUGCCCUCGCAAAGUCUCGCCGUAUUCCGAGUCCGGCGGACGAAGUUGGCCAGCCCCACCCCCCAAGGCUAUAGCCCACCCGUUUUUGUGGCCUUUUUCCGCUGGACGAACUUCGCGCCCCGGCCUUCGGGCGGUUAUUUUUGGGCGCGCCUUUGCCCGCGGCCUAUUUUUGGCACACGGAGGCCCGUCGCAAAGUCUCGCGGCAUUCUGAGUCCGGCGGACGAAAUCGGCCAGCCCCACCCCCCAAGGCUAUAGCCCACCCGUUUUUGUGGCCUUUUUCCGCUGGACGAACAUGGCGACCCGGCCUUCAGGCGCGUAUUUUUGGGUACGGCUUCUCCCGCGGCCUAUUUUGGGACACGGAGGCCCCUCGCAAUGUCUCGCGGCAUUCCGAGUCCGGCGGACGAAGUUGGCCAGCCCCACCCCCCAAGGCUAUAGCCCACCCGUUUUUGUGGCCUUUUUCCGCUGGACGAACUUGACGCCCCGGCCUUCGGGCGGUUAUUUUUGGGCGCGGUUAGCCCGCGGCCUAUUUUUGGCACACCGAGGCCCUUCGCAAAGUCUAGCGGCAUGCCGAGUCCGGCGGACGAAGUGGGCCAGCCCCACCCCCCAGGCUAUAGCCCACCCGUUUUCGUGGCCUUUUACCGCUGGACGAACUUGGCGCCGCGGCCUUCGGUUGGUUAUUUUUAGGCACGGCUUUGCCCGCGGAUUAUUUAUGGCACACGGAGAUCCCUCGCAAAGUCUCGCGGCAUUCCGAGUCCGGCGGACGAAGUCGGCCAGCCCCACCCCCAAGGCUAUAGCCCACCCGUUUUUGUGGCCUUUUUCCGCCGGACGAACUUGGCGCCCCGAACGUCGGGCGGUUAUUUUUGGGCACGGCUUUGCCCGUGGCCUAUUUUUGGCACACGGAGGGCCCUCGCAAAGUCUCGCCGUAUUCCGAGUCCGGCGGACGAAGUUGGCCAGCCCCACCCCCCAAGGCUAUAGCCCACCCGUUUUUGUGGCCUUUUUCCGCUGGACGAACUUCGCGCCCCGGCCUUCGGGCGGUUAUUUUUGGGCGCUGCUUUGUCCACGGCCUAUUUUUGGCACACGGAGGUCCCUCGCAAAGUCUCGCGGCAUUCCGUGUCUGGCGGACGAAGUGGGCCAGCUCCACCCCCCAAGGCUAUAGCCCACCCGUGUUUGUGGCCUUUUUCCGCAGGACGAACUUGGCGCCCCAGCCUUCGGGUGGUUAUUUUUCUGCGCGGCUUUGCCCGCGGCCUAUUUUUGGAACACGGAGGCCCCUCGCAAAGUCUUGCGGCAUUCCGUGUCCGGCGGACGAAGUUGGCCAGCCCCACCCCCCAAGGCUAUAGCCCACCCGUUUUUGUGGCCUUUUCCGCUGGACGAACUUGGCGUCCCGGCCUUCCAGCGGUUAUUUUUGGGCGCGGCUUUGCCCGCGGCCUACUUUUGGCACACGUAGGCCCCUCGCAAGGUCUUGCCGCUUUCCGAGUCCGGCUGAUGAAGUUGGCCAGCCCCACACCCCAAGGCUAUAGCCCACCCGUUUUUGUGGCCUUUUUCCGCUGGACGAACUUGGGGCCCUGGACUUUGGGCGUUUAUUUUUGGGCGCGGCUUUGCCCAUGGAGUAUUUUUGGUACACGGAGGCCCCUCGCAAAGUCUCGCCGUAUUCCGAGUCCGGCGGACGAAGUUGGCCAGCCCCACCCCCCAAGGCUAUAGCCCACCCGUUUUUGUGGCCUUUUUCCGCCGGACGAACUUGGCGCCCCGGCCUUCGGGCGGUUAUUUUUGGGCGCGCCUUUGCCCACGGCCUUUUUU
This 5262-nucleotide long non-coding RNA is filed under the name Citrus x clementina. RNAcentral describes it as "Citrus clementina (C. clementina) long non-coding RNA (CCLE_LNC000018)". Lineage: Eukaryota; Viridiplantae; Streptophyta; Magnoliopsida; Sapindales; Rutaceae. The record is from RNAcentral.